UUUCAGGCUAUUGUUGUUUUUUUGCAAUUUAGGGUAACAUUGUAGCUUGCUACAGAUGACGACCGGCGCACGGGUGCGUAACGCGUAUGAAACCUACCUAAUACAGAGGGAUAGCCCAGAGAAAUUUGGAUUAAUACCUCAUGGUACUGUGGUCUCGCAUGGGAUUAUAGUUAAAGAUUUAUCGGUAUUAGAUGGUCAUGCGUUCUAUUAGUUAGUUGGUAAGGUAACGGCUUACCAAGGCAGCGAUAGAUAGGGGCCCUGAGAGGGGGAUCCCCCACACUGGUACUGAGACACGGACCAGACUCCUACGGGAGGCAGCAGUGAGGAAUAUUGGACAAUGGAGGCAACUCUGAUCCAGCCAUGCCGCGUGAAGGAAGACUGCCCUAUGGGUUGUAAACUUCUUUUAUAGAGGAAGAAACGCAGAUACGUGUAUUUGUUUGACGGUACUCUACGAAUAAGGAUCGGCUAACUCCGUGCCAGCAGCCGCGGUAAUACGGAGGAUCCAAGCGUUAUCCGGAAUCAUUGGGUUUAAAGGGUCCGCAGGCGGUUGUUUAAGUCAGAGGUGAAAGUUUGCAGCUCAACUGUAAAAUUGCCUUUGAUACUGAAUGACUUGAGUUAUAAUGAAGUGGUUAGAAUAUGUAGUGUAGCGGUGAAAUGCAUAGA
RNAcentral lists this ribosomal RNA (663 nucleotides) under Kordia sp. KR05-90. RNAcentral's name for it is "bacterial SSU rRNA". It matches the Rfam family "Bacterial small subunit ribosomal RNA", at positions 40 to 694 of the family's 1533-position model. Lineage: Bacteria; Pseudomonadati; Bacteroidota; Flavobacteriia; Flavobacteriales; Flavobacteriaceae. The record is from RNAcentral.